Molecule: unclassified non-coding RNA, 349 nt
Filed under: soil metagenome
Description: partial contains 5.8S ribosomal RNA, internal transcribed spacer 2, and large subunit ribosomal RNA
Rfam family: 5.8S ribosomal RNA (bases 1-120)
Source: RNAcentral
GAUGAAGAACGUAGCGAAAUGCGAUAAGUAGUGUGAAUUGCAGAAUUCAGUGAAUCAUCGAGUCUUUGAACGCACAUUGCGCCCCCUGGUAUUCCGGGGGGCAUGCCUGUCCGAGCGUCAUUGCUGCCCUCAAGCACGGCUUGUGUGUUGGGCCUCCGCCCCCCGGCUCCCGGGGGGCGGGCCCGAAAGGCAGCGGCGGCACCGCGUCCGGUCCUCGAGCGUAUGGGGCUUCGUCACCCGCUCCGUAGGCCCGGCCGGCGCCCGCCGGCGACCCCCUUCAAUCUUUCCAGGUUGACCUCGGAUCAGGUAGGGAUACCCGCUGAACUUAAGCAUAUCAAUAAGCGGAGGA